Molecule: ribosomal RNA, 756 nt
Filed under: uncultured bacterium
Lineage: Bacteria
Description: bacterial SSU rRNA
Rfam family: Bacterial small subunit ribosomal RNA
Source: RNAcentral
CAGUCGAGCGAAUGACGAGAAGCUUGCUUCUCUGAUUUAGCGGCGGACGGGUGAGUAACACGUGGGCAACCUGCCCUACAGAUUGGGAUAACUCAGGGAAACCUGGGCUAAUACCGAAUAAUCCUUCGAAUCACAUGUUUUGAAGUUGAAAGGCGCUUCGGCGUCACUGUAGGAUGGGCCCGCGGUGCAUUAGCUAGUUGGUGGGGUAACGGCCUACCAAGGCAACGAUGCAUAGCCGACCUGAGAGGGUGAUCGGCCACAUUGGGACUGAGACACGGCCCAAACUCCUACGGGAGGCAGCAGUAGGGAAUCUUCCACAAUGGACGAAAGUCUGAUGGAGCAACGCCGCGUGAGUGAUGAAGGUUUUCGGAUCGUAAAACUCUGUUGUAAGGGAAGAACAAGUACGUUAGGAAAUGAACGUACCUUGACGGUACCUUAUUAGAAAGCCACGGCUAACUACGUGCCAGCAGCCGCGGUAAUACGUAGGUGGCAAGCGUUGUCCGGAUUUAUUGGGCGUAAAGCGCGCGCAGGUGGUUUCUUAAGUCUGAUGUGAAAGCCCACGGCUCAACCGUGGAGGGUCAUUGGAAACUGGGGAACUUGAGUGCAGAAGAGGAUAGUGGAAUUCCAAGUGUAGCGGUGAAAUGCGUAGAGAUUUGGAGGAACACCAGUGGCGAAGGCGACUGUCUGGUCUGUAACUGACACUGAGGCGCGAAAGCGUGGGGAGCAAACAGGAUUAGAUACCCUGGUAGUCCACGC